Molecule: long non-coding RNA, 1339 nt
Organism: Rhododendron vialii
Lineage: Eukaryota; Viridiplantae; Streptophyta; Magnoliopsida; Ericales; Ericaceae
Exons: 3
Source: RefSeq, a predicted model, not a curated record
UCCUUAAUUGGUCGUUAAUAUAUUGAGGUAAUAUUUUGUAUCUCUCUUCUAUCUCUCAAUGUUUGGGUCUUUGAUAUAUGUGUAGGGUUUAAACGAUUAGGUCUUGGAUUUUUGUUGAGGGUUUAAACAAUUUUGGGUCUUGAAUUAAACACAUUGUCAUACCGAUCUUUGUUCACGUCGAUUUUGUCGAACAUAAGUACCUAACGUAGCUCCCCUGUUUCCAACUCUUAUUUAUCCUAAACCCCUAAAAAAUACAACAAUAGUUGUUCUGAUUAAUUCGCAAAGAUAAUAUAAUUCUCUCCCUUUUUCUGAUAUAAAGACAACAUCAUGCUAAUUACGGCAAAAGAGUACAACAAAGUUUAACCAACAGGUUCCACACAACAUCCAGAGCAAGCUAAGCAAAGAGUUUGCAGAACCUUGUGGUUUAUUACUUAAAAAUGUGGAUUUAGAUAAUCUUAAUUAAUUAAAAAUGGUACUUUACUUUAAGAUAGUACUUUACGAUGAGAUGCAUGUUGAAGACGAGGGCUUUGGUUUAGUUAGCAUUAUAAAAAGAAUUGGUUCGAUUCGGUGUGAUUCUAGUGCAUUCAAAACGUUUAGUUUGAAUUAUGUUUUUGAAGUUUUUACCCUCUAUGCUUGUCGGGGCCAUGGUUGUAUAUAUUGAAAGUUGAUUUGGGCUGAAAUUUCACUAUAAUAAUUUAUAAGUGUUUGUCCCUUGUCAAGGGUGAGCAAUGGAAGAACAUUUUGAUUUAGAUUAUUUUGAAGUAGAAGAUUUUCAGACUCCAAAUAACGAUGUGGAAGUGUUAGAAUCGCCGUCAACCUUAGACGCGGAAGCACAAUCGUCUGAUACUGACCAAGAGAUGACGUAAUGAGAAUAUGGGCAAAACAUCUUGAUGCCAAAAGAUUGCUUUGAAUGAUCACAGAGUCUUUUUGGAUGUUUGCUCAUCGAGUUUAUGUAACUUUUUUUAAUUUAAUGAUGGAAAACUCGAUUUUUGGGAACUUUUGGAUGUUAUUUUUGUGAGUAGUUCUUUUCAAGUCAUGGAAUUAUGUACUAUGUUGUUGAAUCAUGAGUUUUUUUCGGGCAUAUUUGAAUUGGAGGUUACCUUUAGAGAAUGGUUUGGUUCUACCAGUUUCUUACUUGCAUCACUACCCAUUUGGCCCCUGCAUGUAAUAACUGUCAUCACCGCAACCUUGCCAGCAGCUUGGUCUUUAUGUGCAAGGAAUAGAUAAAACAGAAAGCACAAUUAUGUACCAGUAAACAAGCUUUCAUGCAUGUCUUUGCAACGUGUUUAUAUUACUCACAAAAUUGUAAGAACAACAGCCAUUACGAAUUUGGCUGACA